This 22-nucleotide microRNA is filed under the name Cricetulus griseus (Chinese hamster). RNAcentral's name for it is "cgr-miR-300". Its record names the gene cgr-miR-300. The record is from miRBase by way of RNAcentral. Lineage: Eukaryota; Metazoa; Chordata; Mammalia; Rodentia; Cricetidae. RNAcentral also lists the same sequence under 2 other names.
UAUGCAAGGGCAAGCUCUCUUC